RNAcentral lists this ribosomal RNA (396 nucleotides) under uncultured bacterium. Its description in RNAcentral is "bacterial SSU rRNA". It matches the Rfam family "Bacterial small subunit ribosomal RNA", at positions 362 to 775 of the family's 1533-position model. The record is from RNAcentral.
UAUUGGACAAUGGGCGCAAGCCUGAUCCAGCAACGCCGCGUGGGUGAAGAAGGUCUUCGGAUCGUAAAGCCCUUUCGACGGGGACGAUGAUGACGGUACCUGUAGAAGAAGCCCCGGCUAACUUCGUGCCAGCAGCCGCGGUAAUACGAAGGGGGCUAGCGUUGCUCGGAAUUACUGGGCGUAAAGGGCGCGUAGGCGGUCAUUUUAGUCAGGCGUGAAAUUCCCGGGCUUAACCUGGGGACUGCGCUUGAUACUGGGUGACUUGAGGGUGGAAGAGGGUCGUGGAAUUCCCAGUGUAGAGGUGAAAUUCGUAGAUAUUGGGAAGAACACCGGUGGCGAAGGCGGCGACCUGGUCCAUUACUGACGCUGAGGCGCGACAGCGUGGGGAGCAAACAG